Molecule: long non-coding RNA, 656 nt
Filed under: Fukomys damarensis (Damara mole-rat)
Lineage: Eukaryota; Metazoa; Chordata; Mammalia; Rodentia; Bathyergidae
Description: lncRNA (ENSFDAG00000027338.1)
Source: RNAcentral
UGUGAAGGCCCUGGGUUCCAUCCCCAGUACCCAAAACAAACAAAAAAGCAGAAGACACAGAGGCACAGCGUCCACGUCCGCCCCGGAGCCGUGUGGGCCGGGUUGCUGGGGUCCGGGCAGGCGACCUUGGUAUCUGAGCUGAGCCUCCCGGGACAGUUUGGACUCCACCCACAGCACCUGGCCCCGGCUCCCAGCCUCNNNNNNNNNNNNNNNNNNCCCCCGCUCCCAGCCUCUCCCACAGGAAGUGACGAGGACGACUGAGGAUGAGCCAUGCCUGUGUUCGCGGUGGGAGUGCGCAGGCUGGGCCUGCAUGAGGAAGACGUCAGAGACCUGGGGGCCCCAGAGCUGGCAGGCCCUGGCUUGCUCAGCCUUCUCUUGGAGUUCUGCCUUAAUUUCUUCAGUCACUCCAAGGAAACGGACCCCAAUUCAGCUGAGCAGCAGAACGCCUCGACAGGCAAACUAACCACGCCGCUUGUAAGAUGUCCCAGCCUACAGCACUCUGCGUUCCAAGGCUCUUGGCCAAGGCCAAGGCCUCGUCUCCUGAUGCGAACUCCAGGUCGUCAGAGCAAUCCUGAAACCCUCUCUGCGGGUCAGCCUGCCUACGCACUGCACAGCUUCACCGAGAGACGUUACAUUCUCUGUUUUUUUGUCUAGAG